Molecule: long non-coding RNA, 2261 nt
Organism: Myodes glareolus (Bank vole)
Lineage: Eukaryota; Metazoa; Chordata; Mammalia; Rodentia; Cricetidae
Source: RefSeq, a predicted model, not a curated record
CCUCCGCCCGGCUCCCUUCUGCUCCUGGCCUAGCAACCGCCAAGCGUCUCCUCCAUAGCAACAUCCGGGUCGCCCAACAGCGCUGGGCUCCUUGUGAGUCCCGCCCGAAGGAAAAAGCCUCUUCUCAGAACCUAAAACAAAGCUGAGGUGGUGGCGUGAGACUGUAAUCCAGCACUUGCAAGGCCAAAGCAGUAGGAUUGCCCUGAGUCUAGCCUGGACUAUAUAAUGAGUCUGACCUAUCGACUCUCCAAGCGCUAUUUGCGGAGCCUGACAGCCAGCCUGGGUUCUACCAGCAGAUGAAGAACCUGAUGACGGAGGGAAGCAUGCUGGCAGGAGGCCCACACAGCUCCUUGAAGAAGACAGCCCGGCCAGGGCCAAGACUGGGAGCCAGAGGCAGUGGAACCGCCAAAUGCCUCCCAUUUUAUGGACAGGCCUGGCUCAACCUGAAGACAUUCCAAAUACUCAGUCAACAGCCAUGGUCCAUAUGAGGUCGGAAAGGGAACCCUUAGAAGCCAUCCUUUGAAGACACAAAACUCAGCUGGAGGAAGCAGCUGGCCCUGUCCAUAGACCAGGCUCACCAGCUGGGGAAAGUGCACCAUGCCAUCAAUAAUCAAUAAUCAGAGGCUGGCAGCUGCUGGGAGUUUGCCCCUGCCCUCUUUCCCACAUGAGUAGGCGCAGUCAGGAAUCCAUCUCACCCACCUCCCUGCACCGAGCCCCGGGGAGGGCAGGCGAGGGAGGAACCAUUUUUCACAUACUUUCUCUUUCAAAAUGCAGCCCUGUUUCGCAAUUUCCUACUCAAGUUCUGGAAGGCUCUAGGGCAUUGACCCAAGCUACCUUCUCCAGCCACUGGCCAGGCACCAACCUGGUAGGCAAUGCCCGCUGGAGGUAGGAAGGGGCUCACCAUGCUAGUCCUCCCGCACCCCACCAAUGAGAAUCCAUUCCAGUCAGAGCAGGUCACUGACUCCACUGUGGGGGGUUCCACCCCGCACCUUGCCAGGUGUUUAUUCUUCACUCUGCUGGUUCUUUCUCUGGAAGAGCAUGGAGGUAGGCCGCACCAAAGCAGGUGCACCCAACCCUGGUAUGCUUGCGUCUUAGCAUCCCCCAAGGUGAUCAAUCUCCAGAUCGCCUCCUUCUCCUAUAAUAAGGCUUUUGUUCUUGAGAACUUCCACCUGUGGUACUGACCAGCCUCCCUUUCCAGUGAGCCCACUCAGUCCUGCCAGAUAGAACCUGUUCUCGCAGCCUGUUUCCCCUUCCCCACCACAGUGAGGGUUUCCACCAGCUACCCAGUGAAUGCAGAGCAGACCCUUAGCUGGAGGGAUCUGAGGCUGAAAGCCGGCACGGGGGGCCUGGCCCUGAGUCAGGGACAUGGAGCAGGGCCUUAGAGCUGGCCCUGACCCCGAGCUCUCACCCAGUCCUCUUAGACCAAAUCAAACAAAUCAGAGAAGAAGGGGAAAUCCCUACUUUAAAAAAUCCAGAAAAUAUACAACUUCAUCACCCCAAACAAUUGGAUGGGAAACACACCAGAGCUGGAGGUGGGAAAGAUGACCAGAAUGUGCUGGUCUGUUAAGUGCGUGACCCCAUAGGGCAGAGAGCUAACAUUUUCCAACCCACGUGGGCGAAUGACCACAUAGAACUAUGUGUUUUCAUUAUGUAAACCUGGGGCAGGGAAAGGCAUCUCGACACAGAUAGAUGGUCCCUUCAGCACCCAUCAGCCUCCAAAGCACCAAGGACCAUUUCGGGACCACCCAUGGCUCUUGGUAGCCCUAGGGUUUCAGUCUCAGGUGGGUGUUUUAGGGCUGCGAGCAGAUAACCGGUCGUCACUUUUAAACCGACUUCACCAUGCAGUUCAGAAACAGACAAGAGCAGGCCCAGGGUUCACUGCAUUCACAUCAUGCUAGGGUUGAAUCUAGAAGUUCACGAGGUAUCAGAAUGAGAAUGUCCCCUGACCAGUUGUGGGAGCUGAGGCUUGAGUUAUGCAUCUAUGUACUCAGGACUUCUGGGGAGCCACAGACUCCUUCCCUGAGCCGUUCAGACUCCAGGAGCAGCUUCUGGGAGUGUGAGGGGAUGGGUGAGGUGAUAAAAAGAAGCCGAGCCCCUCCCCAGGGCAUCGUCAGGGUGACACAGGCAACAGGAGACACAGCCCCCCUUAUUCUGGGACUUGUUUGGAUGUAGUUUUAGAAGAAAGCUAACGGCCAGGCAGUGGUGGCGCAUGCUUUAAAUCCCAGCAUUCAGGAGGCAGAAGUAGGCAGAUCUCUGUGAGU